This 218-nucleotide ribosomal RNA is filed under the name uncultured soil bacterium. Its description in RNAcentral is "partial 16S ribosomal RNA". It matches the Rfam family "Bacterial small subunit ribosomal RNA", at positions 26 to 255 of the family's 1533-position model. The record is from RNAcentral.
AGAUUGAACGCUGGCGGCAUGCCUAACACAUGCAAGUCGAACGGGAGUAGCAAUACUCUAGUGGCGGACGGGUGAGGAAUACGUAGGAAUUUGCCCUUAAGUGGGGGAUAACCCGGGGAAACCCGGAUUAAUACCGCAUGACCUCGAAAGAGCAAAGGUGGGGGAUCGCAAGACCUCACGCUUUUGGAGAAGCCUACGUCGGAUUAGCUAGUUGGUGA